Molecule: ribosomal RNA, 253 nt
Filed under: uncultured bacterium
Lineage: Bacteria
Description: partial 16S ribosomal RNA
Rfam family: Bacterial small subunit ribosomal RNA
Source: RNAcentral
UACGAAGGGGGCUAGCGUUGCUCGGAAUUACUGGGCGUAAAGCGCACGUAGGCGGAUUGUUAAGUCGGGGGUGAAAUCCUGGAGCUCAACUCCAGAACUGCCUUCGAUACUGGCGAUCUCGAGUCCGGGAGAGGUGAGUGGAACUGCGAGUGUAGAGGUGAAAUUCGUAGAUAUUCGCAAGACACCAGUGGCGAAGGCGGCUCACUGGCCCGGUACUGACGCUGAGGUGCGAAAGCGUGGGGAGCGAACGAGG